This 497-nucleotide ribosomal RNA is filed under the name uncultured bacterium. Its description in RNAcentral is "partial 16S ribosomal RNA". It matches the Rfam family "Bacterial small subunit ribosomal RNA", at positions 28 to 507 of the family's 1533-position model. The record is from RNAcentral.
GAUGAACGCUGGCGGCGUGCCUAAUACAUGCAAGUCGAGCGAACAGACGAGGAGCUUGCUCCUCUGACGUUAGCGGCGGACGGGUGAGUAACACGUGGAUAACCUACCUAUAAGACUGGGAUAACUUCGGGAAACCGGAGCUAAUACCGGAUAACAUGUUGAACCGCAUGGUUCAACAGUGAAAGACGGUCUUGCUGUCACUUAUAGAUGGAUCCGCGCCGCAUUAGCUAGUCGGUAAGGUAACGGCUUACCAAGGCAACGAUGCGUAGCCGACCUGAGAGGGUGAUCGGCCACACUGGAACUGAGACACGGUCCAGACUCCUACGGGAGGCAGCAGUAGGGAAUCUUCCGCAAUGGGCGAAAGCCUGACGGAGCAACGCCGCGUGAGUGAAGAAGGUCUUCGGAUCGUAAAACUCUGUUAUUAGGGAAGAACAAAUGUGUAAGUAACUAUGCACGUCUUGACGGUACCUAAUCAGAAAGCCACGGCUAACUACGUG